GGAGAAUUGGCCGAGUGGCUGAAGGCGCACGAUUGGAAAUCGUGUAAACGUGAUGAGCGUUUCGAGGGUUCAAAUCCCUCAUUCUCCGCCA
This 91-nucleotide transfer RNA is filed under the name Tissierellia bacterium. RNAcentral's name for it is "tRNA-Ser". It matches the Rfam family "tRNA". From Rfam's summary of the family: Transfer RNA (tRNA) molecules are approximately 80 nucleotides in length. Their secondary structure includes four short double-helical elements and three loops (D, anti-codon, and T loops). The record is from RNAcentral. Lineage: Bacteria; Bacillati; Bacillota; Tissierellia.